UAAGGAUGUGUCAACUGUCAGGUUUUCAACAGUUGUAUGCAUGUCUGACAAAUGCAUUGUCCUGAGAUUUUUCACUUGCCUAGCAUGGCUAUUUACCUUCUCAAUACAAACAACUAAAAAUUGUGUAAUUCAUUGUUGCCUGGUAAAAAGGAAGAAAAUGUAUCAGCUCAUUACAACCUCUUUUCUUUUUCUUUUUUUUCAAAAUGGCAUUAGGCAUCUUAUCACAUAACGGGUCCCAUUUUUACUAUUACAUAAUAGCCAUUUCAUAACCUUUUUUUUAAUACUAUGAUUAUAUGCAUUUUCAUGAUGAUGACGAUCAUCAUAACAUAAGCCUUAUCCCAACUGAUGAGUCCAGCUAUACGAAUUUGAUUGUGUCAUUCCACUUUAUCAAGGAUCACCAUCAAACUUUGGCAUUUCCGAAAGGCCUCAAUUCAGCACCUGGAAGGCCUAGAGUGGCUCCAAACAGUCCAGUGAUUUUCGAUGUGAGCUUGGAAUACAUACCGGGCUUUGAAUUGGACGAAGAGUAAGAAAUCUAAUUUUCCUCAGAUUUUAUUUCCUUUCUGGAGGUGGGUCCCCCAUUAUUCUUUUCUUCUUUUAUUGUAUGAUAACAAUAUCUAUUCAUUGAUGGACUUGAAUUUGGAAGGUGAGGAGCUUUGCAUGGUUUCCACACCCAUGUUGUUGUAUCAUGAAAACAGUGAUUGGAAGUUGGAAUUUUUCUUAA
This is a long non-coding RNA of Magnolia sinica, 721 nucleotides long. RefSeq lists it as uncharacterized. NCBI's taxonomy places the organism in Eukaryota, Viridiplantae, Streptophyta, Magnoliopsida, Magnoliales, Magnoliaceae. The record is from RefSeq and is a predicted model, not a curated record. The transcript has 2 exons.